CCCACUAUUUUAAGAAGAAAAUAUUUCAUUUGAUUAUUAAUUGUUAUGUGCUUUAAAUUUAGAGGAUUUGGCGGUAUUCAAGUCUAGUUAGAGGAACCUGCUUCUUAAAACGAUAGUCCACGAAGUAUUUUAUUUUUUUUUGUUAAUCAGUUUGUAUACCUCCAUUAUUAGGUGAAAUUAAUAAGUUUUCGCUUAAAUAUAGAGCUUCUAUAGUAUAUUAGGUCAAGGUGCAGCCUAUGAAAAAAUUGAUUGUGGGUUACAUUUUUUUUAAUAUUCGGAGUAAAACUUGAAUUUUGUUUUAUGAAGUUGGAUUUAAUUGUAAUAUUUAUUUAAUAUGUAGAUCUGAUAGUAGCUCUUGAAUAUGUACACAUCGCCC
RNAcentral lists this ribosomal RNA (376 nucleotides) under Lipkemenes lanipes. RNAcentral's name for it is "partial 12S ribosomal RNA". The record is from RNAcentral. Lineage: Eukaryota; Metazoa; Arthropoda; Malacostraca; Decapoda; Palaemonidae.